GGCCGUGAAUUAAGGAAGUGCAAGUGACGAGAUCAUGAUGAAUACCUUUGCGAGUCAUUUCUGAAAACAUAUCCAAAGCCUCCCAUACCUUGCCAUCCUUGCAAAGGCCGUCAAUAACUGUAUUC
This 125-nucleotide microRNA precursor is filed under the name Cajanus cajan (pigeon pea). RNAcentral describes it as "miRNA gene-KK1_049179". The record is from RNAcentral. Lineage: Eukaryota; Viridiplantae; Streptophyta; Magnoliopsida; Fabales; Fabaceae.